RNAcentral lists this ribosomal RNA (795 nucleotides) under uncultured Gammaproteobacteria bacterium. RNAcentral's name for it is "bacterial SSU rRNA". It matches the Rfam family "Bacterial small subunit ribosomal RNA", at positions 125 to 916 of the family's 1533-position model. Lineage: Bacteria; Pseudomonadati; Pseudomonadota; Gammaproteobacteria. The record is from RNAcentral.
UCUGCCCAUUAGUGGGGGACAACUAGAAGAAAUUCUAGCUAAUACCGCAUACGCCCUACGGGGGAAAGCGGGGGAUCUUCGGACCUCGCGCUAAUGGAUGAGCCUAAGUCGGAUUAGCUUGUUGGUGAGGUAACGGCCCACCAAAGCGACGAUCCGUAGCUGGUCUGAGAGGACGAUCAGCCACACUGGGACUGAGACACGGCCCAGACUCCUACGGGAGGCAGCAGUGGGGAAUAUUGGACAAUGGGCGCAAGCCUGAUCCAGCAAUGCCGCGUGUGUGAAGAAGGCCUGCGGGUUGUAAAGCACUUUCAGUAGAGAAGAAAAGCCUACGGUUAAUAACCGUGAGUCUUGACGUAACCUACAGAAGAAGCACCGGCUAACUCCGUGCCAGCAGCCGCGGUAAUACAGAGGGUGCGAGCGUUAAUCGGAUUUACUGGGCGUAAAGGGCGCGUAGGCGGUCGUAUGAGUGUGAUGUGAAAGCCCCGGGCUCAACCUGGGAAGUGCAUCGCAAACGAUACGACUGGAGUACAUGAGAGGGUGGCGGAAUUUCCGGUGUAGCGGUGAAAUGCGUAGAGAUCGGAAGGAACGUCGAUGGCGAAGGCAGCCACCUGGCAUGAUACUGACGCUGAGGCGCGAAAGCGUGGGGAGCGAACAGGAUUAGAUACCCUGGUAGUCCACGCUGUAAACGAUGUCAACUAAAUGUUUGUAGGGGAACCUAUGGGUAUUGAAGCUAACGCGAUAAGUUGACCGCCUGGGAAGUACAGCCGCAAGGUUGAAACUCAAAGGAAUUNACGG